RNAcentral lists this ribosomal RNA (253 nucleotides) under uncultured bacterium. Its description in RNAcentral is "partial 16S ribosomal RNA". It matches the Rfam family "Bacterial small subunit ribosomal RNA", at positions 524 to 776 of the family's 1533-position model. The record is from RNAcentral.
UACGUAGGGUGCAAGCGUUGUCCGGAAUUACUGGGCGUAAAGGGCGCGUAGGCGGCUUAUCAAGUCAGGCGUGAAAUUCCCGGGCUCAACCUGGGGGCUGCGCUUGAUACUGAUGAGCUUGAAUGCGGGAGAGGAUAGUGGAAUUCCCAGUGUAGAGGUGAAAUUCGUAGAUAUUGGGAAGAACACCGGUGGCGAAGGCGGCUAACUGGUCCGGUUCUGACGCUGAGGCGCGAAAGCGUGGGGAGCAAACAGG